RNAcentral lists this ribosomal RNA (805 nucleotides) under uncultured bacterium. RNAcentral's name for it is "bacterial SSU rRNA". It matches the Rfam family "Bacterial small subunit ribosomal RNA", at positions 8 to 796 of the family's 1533-position model. The record is from RNAcentral.
AGAGUUUGAUCAUGGCUCAGAACGAACGCUGGCGGCGUGCUUAAUACAUGCAAGUCGUGCGAGAAAGUCCAUCUUCGGAAGGACGAGUAAAGCGGCGAACGGGUGCGUAACACGUGGGCAACCUGCCCUCAGAAUGGGGAUAAGCUUCCGAAAGGGGGUCUAAUACCGAAUAAUAUCACGAGAUGACAUCAUCUUGUGAUCAAAGGUGGCGCAAGCUAUCGUCUGAGGAUGGGCCCGCGGUACAUUAGCUUGUUGGUAGGGUAACGGCCUACCAAGGCUACGAUGUAUAGCCGGCCUGAGAGGGUGACCGGCCACACUGGGACUGAGAUACGGCCCAGACUCCUACGGGAGGCAGCAGUAGGGAAUAUUGCGCAAUGCCCGAAAGGGUGACGCAGCAACGCCGCGUGUGGGAUGAAGCUUCUUGGAGUGUAAACCACUGUCAGUUGGGACGAAACACUGCAAUAAGCAACGAUUGCAGUUUGACGGUACCUUCAGAGGAAGCUCCGGCCAACUCCGUGCCAGCAGCCGCGGUAACACGGGGGGAGCAAGCGUUGUUCGGAAUCACUGGGCGUAAAGGGUGCGCAGGCGGGAAGACAGGUCAGAUGUGAAAACCCAUGGCUUAACCAUGGGCCUGCAUCUGAAACCCUCUUUCUUGAGUAUCGGAGAGGAAAGCGGAACUCCAGGUGUAGCGGUGAAAUGCGUAGAUAUCUGGAGGAACACCGGUGGCGAAGGCGGCUUUCUGCCGAAUACUGACGCUCAUGCACGAAGGCCGGNNAGCAAACAGGAUUAGAUACCCUAGUAGUCC